UUAAGCGACUAAGCGUACACGGUGGAUGCCCUGGCAGUCAGAGGCGAUGAAGGGCGUGCUAAUCUGCGAUAAGCGCCGGUAAGGUGAUAUGAACCGUUAUAACCGGCGAUACCCGAAUGGGGAAACCCAGUGUGAUUCGUCACACUAUCAUUAACUGAAUCCAUAGGUUAAUGAGGCGAACCGGGGGAACUGAAACAUCUAAGUACCCCGAGGAAAAGAAAUCAACCGAGAUUCCCCCAGUAGCGGCGAGCGAACGGGGAGGAGCCCAGAGCCUGAAUCAGCAUGUGUGUUAGUGGAAGCGUCUGGAAAGGCGCGCGAUACAGGGUGACAGCCCCGUACACAAAAGCGCAUGUGCUGUGAGCUCGAUGAGUAGGGCGGGACACGUGGUAUCCUGUCUGAAUAUGGGGGGACCAUCCUCCAAGGCUAAAUACUCCUGACUGACCGAUAGUGAACCAGUACCGUGAGGGAAAGGCGAAAAGAACCCCGGCGAGGGGAGUGAAAAAGAACCUGAAACCGUGUACGUACAAGCAGUGGGAGCACAGGUUUACCUGUGUGACUGCGUACCUUUUGUAUAAUGGGUCAGCGACUUAUAUUCUGUAGCAAGGUUAACCGAAUAGGGGAGCCGGAGGGAAACCGAGUCUUAAUUGGGCGUUAAGUUGCAGGGUAUAGACCCGAAACCCGGUGAUCUAGCCAUGGGCAGGUUGAAGGUUGGGUAACACUAACUGGAGGACCGAACCGACUAAUGUUGAAAAAUUAGCGGAUGACCUGUGGCUGGGGGUGAAAGGCCAAUCAAACCGGGAGAUAGCUGGUUCUCCCCGAAAGCUAUUUAGGUAGCGCCUCGUGAAUUCAUCUCCGGGGGUAGAGCACUGUUUCGGCUAGGGGGCCAUCCCGGCUUACCAACCCGAUGCAAACUGCGAAUACCGGAGAAUGUUAUCACGGGAGACACACGGCGGGUGCUAACGUCCGUCGUGAAGAGGGAAACAACCCAGACCGCCAGCUAAGGUCCCAAAGUCAUGGUUAAGUGGGAAACGAUGUGGGAAGGCCCAGACAGCCAGGAUGUUGGCUUAGAAGCAGCCAUCAUUUAAAGAAAGCGUAAUAGCUCACUGGUCGAGUCGGCCUGCGCGGAAGAUGUAACGGGGCUAAACCAUGCACCGAAGCUGCGGCAGCGACGCUGAUGCGUUGUUGGGUAGGGGAGCGUUCUGUAAGCCUGCGAAGGUGGCCUGUGAGGGUUGCUGGAGGUAUCAGAAGUGCGAAUGCUGACAUAAGUAACGAUAAAGCGGGUGAAAAGCCCGCUCGCCGGAAGACCAAGGGUUCCUGUCCAACGUUAAUCGGGGCAGGGUGAGUCGACCCCUAAGGCGAGGCCGAAAGGCGUAGUCGAUGGGAAACGGGUUAAUAUUCCCGUACUUGGUGUUACUGCGAAGGGGGGACGGAGAAGGCUAUGUUGGCCGGGCGACGGUUGUCCCGGUUUAAGCGUGUAGGCUGGUUUUCCAGGCAAAUCCGGAAAAUCAAGGCUGAGGCGUGAUGACGAGGCACUACGGUGCUGAAGCAACAAAUGCCCUGCUUCCAGGAAAAGCCUCUAAGCAUCAGGUAACAUCAAAUCGUACCCCAAACCGACACAGGUGGUCAGGUAGAGAAUACCAAGGCGCUUGAGAGAACUCGGGUGAAGGAACUAGGCAAAAUGGUGCCGUAACUUCGGGAGAAGGCACGCUGACACGUAGGUGAAGUGAUUUACUCAUGGAGCUGAAGUCAGUCGAAGAUACCAGCUGGCUGCAACUGUUUAUUAAAAACACAGCACUGUGCAAACACGAAAGUGGACGUAUACGGUGUGACGCCUGCCCGGUGCCGGAAGGUUAAUUGAUGGGGUCAGCGCAAGCGAAGCUCCUGAUCGAAGCCCCGGUAAACGGCGGCCGUAACUAUAACGGUCCUAAGGUAGCGAAAUUCCUUGUCGGGUAAGUUCCGACCUGCACGAAUGGCGUAAUGAUGGCCAGGCUGUCUCCACCCGAGACUCAGUGAAAUUGAACUCGCUGUGAAGAUGCAGUGUACCCGCGGCAAGACGGAAAGACCCCGUGAACCUUUACUAUAGCUUGACACUGAACAUUGAGCCUUGAUGUGUAGGAUAGGUGGGGAGGCUUUGAAGUGUGGACGCCAGUCUGCAUGGAGCCGACCUUGAAAUACCACCCUUUAAUGUUUGAUGUUCUAACGUGGACCCGUUACCCGGGUUGCGGACAGUGUCUGGUGGGUAGUUUGACUGGGGCGGUCUCCUCCUAAAGAGUAACGGAGGAGCACGAAGGUUGGCUAAUCCUGGUCGGACAUCAGGAGGUUAGUGGCAAUGGCAUAAGCCAGCUUGACUGCGAGCGUGACGGCGCGAGCAGGUGCGAAAGCAGGUCAUAGUGAUCCGGUGGUUCUGAAUGGAAGGGCCAUCGCUCAACGGAUAAAAGGUACUCCGGGGAUAACAGGCUGAUACCGCCCAAGAGUUCAUAUCGACGGCGGUGUUUGGCACCUCGAUGUCGGCUCAUCACAUCCUGGGGCUGAAGUAGGUCCCAAGGGUAUGGCUGUUCGCCAUUUAAAGUGGUACGCGAGCUGGGUUUAGAACGUCGUGAGACAGUUCGGUCCCUAUCUGCCGUGGGCGCUGGAGAACUGAGGGGGGGCUGCUCCUAGUACGAGAGGACCGGAGUGGACGCAUCACUGGUGUUCGGGUUGUCAUGCCAAUGGCACUGCCCGGUAGCUAAAUGCGGAAGAGAUAAGUGCUGAAAGCAUCUAAGCACGAAACUUGCCCCGAGAUGAGUUCUCCCUGAGACUUAGAGUCUCCUGAAGGAACGUUGAAGACGACGACGUUGAUAGGCCGGGUGUGUAAGCGCAGCGAUGCGUUGAGCUAACCGGUACUAAUGAACCGUGAGGCUUAACCUU
This 2907-nucleotide ribosomal RNA is filed under the name Salmonella enterica subsp. enterica. RNAcentral's name for it is "bacterial LSU rRNA". It matches the Rfam family "Bacterial large subunit ribosomal RNA". The record is from RNAcentral. Lineage: Bacteria; Pseudomonadati; Pseudomonadota; Gammaproteobacteria; Enterobacterales; Enterobacteriaceae.